UGGGGAAUCUUGGACAAUGGGGGCAACCCUGAUCCAGCCAUGCCGCGUGAGUGAUGAAGGCCUUAGGGUCGUAAAGCUCUUUCGCCUGUGAAGAUAAUGACGGUAGCAGGUAAAGAAACCCCGGCUAACUCCGUGCCAGCAGCCGCGGUAAUACGGAGGGGGUUAGCGUUGUUCGGAAUUACUGGGCGUAAAGCGCACGUAGGCGGACCAGAAAGUUGGGGGUGAAAUCCCGGGGGCUCAACCCCGGAACUGCCUCCAAAACUAUUGGUCUAGAGUUCGAGAGAGGUGAGUGGAAUUCCAAGUGUAGAGGUGAAAUUCGUAGAUAUUUGGAGGAACACCAGUGGCGAAGGCGGCUCACUGGCUCGAUACUGACGCUGAGGUGCGAAAGUGUGGGGAGCAAAACAGGAUUAGAUACCCUGGUAGUCCACACCGUAAAACGAUGAAUGCCAGUCGUCGGGGUAGCAUGCUAUUCGGUGACACACCUAACGGAUUAAGCA
This 497-nucleotide ribosomal RNA is filed under the name uncultured bacterium. Its description in RNAcentral is "bacterial SSU rRNA". It matches the Rfam family "Bacterial small subunit ribosomal RNA", at positions 355 to 866 of the family's 1533-position model. The record is from RNAcentral.